UCCCAGACUCCUACGGGAGGCAGCAGUGGGGGAUAUUGCACAAUGGGGGAAACCCUGAUGCAGCGACGCCGCGUGAGUGAAGAAGUAAUUCGUUACGUAAAGCUCUAUCAGCAGGGAAGAAAAUGACGGUACCUGACUAAGAAGCCCCGGCUAACUACGUGCCAGCAGCCGCGGUAAUACGUAGGGGGCAAGCGUUAUCCGGAAUUACUGGGUGUAAAGGGAGCGUAGGCGGGGAUGCAAGUUGGGUGUCAAAACUACCGGCUCAACUGGUAGUCGCACUCAAAACUGCAGCUCUUGAGUGAAGUAGAGGCAGGCGGAAUUCCUAGUGUAGCGGUGAAAUGCGUAGAUAUUAGGAGGAACACCAGUGGCGAAGGCGGCUUACUGGACUGUAACUGACGUUGAGGCUCGAAAGCGUGGGGAGCAAACAGGAUUAGAUACCCGCGUAU
Molecule: ribosomal RNA, 446 nt
Filed under: uncultured bacterium
Lineage: Bacteria
Description: bacterial SSU rRNA
Rfam family: Bacterial small subunit ribosomal RNA
Source: RNAcentral